Passer domesticus (house sparrow) is the source of this 3270-nucleotide long non-coding RNA. RefSeq lists it as uncharacterized. Lineage: Eukaryota; Metazoa; Chordata; Aves; Passeriformes; Passeridae. The record is from RefSeq and is a predicted model, not a curated record. The transcript has 5 exons.
UGCAACUUUCUGAAAUUCCAGAUUGUGUCAAGUGGAGUACUUUUUUCAGCAGAUUCCUAAUAUCACAAAAGGGAUUUGCUCUGUGUCCAAGAUGAUAUUUGAGAUUGAGGCUUCAAAUGAGUUAAGCAUUGUGAUUAGGAGAGGGAGGGUGAAGAGCUUUUAAUGACUCUGUUUAGGAGUUAUUGCGGGUGGUUUUGAGGGCAGCAGGGUGAGAAACAGUGUCUACAGCACACAAGCUGAUCCACUGCAGUCAGAGAAAUGCUAUGUAACUUUCUCUCUCUAACCCAGGUGCCACUCACAAUAACACCCUUGGACUCAGUAUGAAGCCAGAGACUCAAGGACCUAGGCACACUCAGGAGAGGACAAGUAGCCGACUUGCUGGGAGUUGGCCCAUAUAACACAAAGCUCAUAUGUUGUUUUUGGUUUACUUUAUUGCAGCUGACUGAGAGGUUAACAGGCAAUCGUGGCAGAGGUGCUCUAUGGCAUACUCAUUUCAGGUCCAGCAUGGACUCACAUCACCGGUCAUCCAAAAGAUAAGUUGGGGCCACAGCCUGGAGAUGGGAUGAUAGGAGAGUAGUGGGUUGGAAAUUCCUGGGACUAGGUUUGCUGCUCUUGUGAGCCCUGUGGAGGUAUUGCAGGACCCUGUGAUGAAGCCUUAAAAUUUUCUAUUUAAAGGUUGCUUCUGAGUAGCCCUCAGGAAUGACCAAGGAGUUGUGGUGAGUCGGGGAGGUAUUGAGGAGGAGCCGGGGUCCGCUCAGUUCUCAGCUGUGCUACAUCACCUCGUCUCCUCUGAGACGACGGCGUCAGUCUCGGAGUUCGGCCGAAGCGUGCGGCCUGAGGAGCCGGUCACUCUUAGGAGGCGGAGACGACAGCCCAGUGACAGCAGGAACCUCCCAGACAGCCUGGUGGCCUUCCUUUGCACCCGAUGUGGAUUCUCAUUCCUGGACAGCCAAGAGAUAAGUCGAGGGCUAUGACUCAGAGGGGAUGGAAGGGGGCUGCUGCAUCAGGACUCCCUGGGACGGAUUUUUGAGUCAUGCUUGGAGAUGAGGCUAUCCAGGAAAAGUCAUCUUACGGCCACACAAAAGCCAAGUGUCACUUUUGAUCCCAGUGCUGUGGUCAGCAGGGCAGAGCAGUCCCGGUGUGUAUUGUGUCACUUGUCUAUUGUGCAUUAUGUGUUGUUUGGGUAUCUCAUGUCUUUUACCGUAGCCCUUUGAGUGGCCUGUCAGAAACCCUGGCAUCAUUCUUGGCAUCUGUCAUCUCUGCAUUUCUUGGCCUGGCACCAAUGCCAUAGGACUUUUGUCUCAGGCUCUCUGAUAGGCAUGAGAAGCGCAUCUCUCUUUAGGAGCUUCGGGUCAGAUAUCUUUGAAGGUCUUGUUCUGAGCUGAAGGGACAGCUGCAGCCCACAAGGAUCCAUUAUUGCGUAUUCGGACUUGUAAGGAAGCAAGGAUAGGUAGAGGAUUCUGACCGUACGAUUCUUGGGCAUCCAUCUUUGCAGUUCUUGCAAUAAAUCAAUCAGUUAGCAUCUUCUUCCUCCAGGGUUCUGUGAGCCUCAUCAGCUCGCUGUUGGUCUCACCUCAGUCCUCUCAUUUUGCAAUCUCUCGGUCCUUGCAGUCAUUCUUCUUGCCAAGAGAUUUCUGUCCCUGUUGUGUCCCCAUUGUUUGUCACGUCCUGUCCUGUGUCACGGGUGUCUGCACAUAUUUGUGCUGGAGCUGCUCUGCCCUGCAGCAUAGCCUGGUGUGACAGGACAAAUCCUGGGGGCUUGAAAUUUGUAGUGUGGGGUGUCGUUGGAUUCCAGAUAGGAUUUGUAGAUGGGCACAAGAUGUUUGGAGGUGUGAAGUUAUCCUGCAGCCGAUAGACCUUUGUCCUGACUUUCUUUCAGAUGCAGAUGGAUAAAAUCCAUGGCAGAGCACCCCAUCCCAGGAAGUAAAGCCAUCUAGCAGCAGCCAAGGCAAAGUGGGCAAAGCAAUCCAUUUGGAGUAUACGUGACUCUGUCACACACUGGCCAAUGGACUGUGAUCGUUGCUCUUUAGAGAUCUGUGGAAGUAUUACUGGACUCGGUGAUGAAGCCUCUGCCUUUUCUAUUUAAAGGAGUAUUCCGGGUGGCCUUUGGCAAUGCCUGAGGAGUUGUGCUGAGUCGGGAAUAGGGAGGAGGAGCGGGGGUCCACUCUGGUUCCAGCAAUGCCACAUCACCUUUUCUCCUCUCAACCGAGGCGAACCUUGCGACGAUGGUGUCAGCCUCUGAGUGCAGCCGAAGCGUGCGGCAUUCAUAAGAGACCCAGGCAUUGCUAGGAGAACGCUGACUAAGAGACAACGGCCCGGUGACAGCAGGAACUUCCCAGGCAGCCUUCUUUGGCACCUGACCCAGACCAUCAUCCGCAGAUAAGUCGAGGGCUAUGACCCAGAGAGGGCAUGGUAGUGGGGUGCUGGGUUGGAACUCACAGGGAGGGGUUUUUGAGUCAGCUUUGCGGAUGAGGAUAUCCAAGAAGUGUCCCCUUAGGCCACAUAAAGGGAAAGCGUCACUUUUGAUCCCAGCGCUGACGUGCGCAGGGCAGAGCAGUUCCGGUGUGUAGCAUGUCACUUGUGAGUCGUGCCUUGUGUUGUUUGUAUGUCUCAUGUUGCACAUCUUUUACCUUAGCCCUUUGAGUGGCCUAUCAGAAACCCCGGCAUCAUUCUUAGCAUCUGUGACCCUGCGUUCCUUGGUCUGGCACCAGUGCCAUAGGACUUUUGACUCAGGAGCUCAGACAGGCAUCGGAAUUGCAUUUCUCAUUAGGAGCAUCCAGUCUGAUGUCUUUGAAGGUCUUGUUCCGAGCCGUACAGACAGCUGUGCCUCACACGGAUCCAUUAUUGAAGAUUAGGAGUUGUAAGAACGUGAGGAUACGUAGAGGAUUCUGACCGCAGCAUUCACAGGCAUCCAUCUUUGCAGUUCUUUGAAGAAAAGAUUCAGUUAGCAUCUUCGUCCUCCAGGGUUCUCUGAGCCUCAUCGGCUCACCAUCGGUCUCACCUCAGUCAUUUCAUUUCGGAUUCUGUCAGUCCUUGCAGUCAUUCUUCUUACCAAGUGAUUUCUGGUCCUGUUGUAUCCCCUUUGUUUGUCACGUCCUGUCCUGUGUCACGGGUGUCUGCACAUAUUUGUGCCAGAGCUGCUCUGCCCUGCCGCAUAGCCUGGCACGAUAGGACAAAUCCUGGGGGCUUGCAAUUUGUAGUGUGGGGUGUCGUUGGAUUCCAGAUAGGAUUUGUAGAUUGGCACAAGAUGUUUGGAAAUAUCUCAGAGGA